Molecule: ribosomal RNA, 254 nt
Filed under: uncultured bacterium
Lineage: Bacteria
Description: partial 16S ribosomal RNA
Rfam family: Bacterial small subunit ribosomal RNA
Source: RNAcentral
UACGGGGGGAGCAAGCGUUGUUCGGAUUUACUGGGCGUAAAGGGCGCGUAGGCGGCCUCCGCAAGUCAGUUGUGAAAUCUCCGAGCUUAACUCGGAAAGGUCAACUGAUACUGCGGGGCUAGAGUGCGGAAGGGGCAACUGGAAUUCUUGGUGUAGCGGUGAAAUGCGUAGAUAUCGGAAGGAACAUCAGUGGCGAAAGCGGCUUCCUGGACCAGCACCGACGUUCAGGCACGAAAGCGUGGGGAGCAAACAGG